RNAcentral lists this ribosomal RNA (254 nucleotides) under uncultured bacterium. RNAcentral's name for it is "partial 16S ribosomal RNA". It matches the Rfam family "Bacterial small subunit ribosomal RNA", at positions 524 to 776 of the family's 1533-position model. The record is from RNAcentral.
UACGGAGGGUGCAAACGUUGCUCGGAAUCAUUGGGCGUAAAGCGCACGUAGGUGGCCUGUUAAGUCGGGUGUGAAAUCCCUGGGCUCAACCCAGGAAGUGCACUCGAAACUGGCAGGCUUGAGUACUGAAGAGGGUCGCGGAAUUCCCGGUGUAGAGGUGGAAAUUCGUAGAUAUCGGGAGGAACACCAGUGGCGAAGGCGGCGACCUGGGCAGAUACUGACACUGAGGUGCGAAAGCGUGGGGAGCAAACAGG